This 766-nucleotide ribosomal RNA is filed under the name Staphylococcus aureus. Its description in RNAcentral is "bacterial SSU rRNA". It matches the Rfam family "Bacterial small subunit ribosomal RNA", at positions 28 to 776 of the family's 1533-position model. The record is from RNAcentral. Lineage: Bacteria; Bacillati; Bacillota; Bacilli; Caryophanales; Staphylococcaceae.
GAUGAACGCUGGCGGCGUGCCUAAUACAUGCAAGUCGAGCGAACGGACGAGAAGCUUGCUUCUCUGAUGUUAGCGGCGGACGGGUGAGUAACACGUGGAUAACCUACCUAUAAGACUGGGAUAACUUCGGGAAACCGGAGCUAAUACCGGAUAAUAUUUUGGACCGCAUGGUUCAAAAGUGAAAGACGGUCUUGCUGUCACUUAUAGAUGGAUCCGCGCUGCAUUAGCUAGUUGGUAAGGUAACGGCUUACCAAGGCAACGAUGCAUAGCCGACCUGAGAGGGUGAUCGGCCACACUGGAACUGAGACACGGUCCAGACUCCUACGGGAGGCAGCAGUAGGGAAUCUUCCGCAAUGGGCGAAAGCCUGACGGAGCAACGCCGCGUGAGUGAUGAAGGUCUUCGGAUCGUAAAACUCUGUUAUUAGGGAAGAACAUAUGUGUAAGUAACUGUGCGCAUCUUGACGGUACCUAAUCAGAAAGCCACGGCUAACUACGUGCCAGCAGCCGCGGUAAUACGUAGGUGGCAAGCGUUAUCCGGAAUUAUUGGGCGUAAAGCGCGCGUAGGCGGUUUUUUAAGUCUGAUGUGAAAGCCCACGGCUCAACCGUGGAGGGUCAUUGGAAACUGGAAAACUUGAGUGCAGAAGAGGAAAGUGGAAUUCCAUGUGUAGCGGUGAAAUGCGCAGAGAUAUGGAGGAACACCAGUGGCGAAGGCGACUUUCUGGUCUGUAACUGACGCUGAUGUGCGAAAGCGUGGGGAUCAAACAGG